RNAcentral lists this long non-coding RNA (343 nucleotides) under Marmota monax (woodchuck). Lineage: Eukaryota; Metazoa; Chordata; Mammalia; Rodentia; Sciuridae. The record is from RNAcentral.
UCUGUUCCAGAGUCCCAGGUACACUCUGAGUUGAUGCAAGAAUCUUCAAUGUCAGCAUCUAAAGGGGAGAAGGUCACUCUCUUCCUGCACUGGAAAUAGCAACAAUGUUGGAGCUUAUUAUGUAGGCUGGUAUCAACAGAUUCUAGGUUCUGCCCCCAAAACUCUGAUGCUUGAAACUACUAGGCCUUCAGGAAUCCCUGAUCGCUUCUCUGGCUCCCAUUCUGGCAACACAGCCACCCUGACCAUCACUGGGCUCCAGGUGGAGGAUGAGGCCAAUUAUUACUGUGAAGCAUGGGACAAAAGCCUCAGUGCUCACACAGUGCUUCAGAUGCAUGGGGAACUG